Molecule: ribosomal RNA, 440 nt
Filed under: uncultured bacterium
Lineage: Bacteria
Description: partial 16S ribosomal RNA
Rfam family: Bacterial small subunit ribosomal RNA
Source: RNAcentral
CCUACGGGAGACAGCAGUGGGGGAUAUUGCACAAUGGGGGAAACCCUGAUGCAGCGACGCCGCGUGGGUGAAGAAGCGCCUCGGCGCGUAAAGCCCUGUCAGCAGGGAAGAAAAUGACGGUACCUGAAGAAGAAGCCCCGGCUAACUACGUGCCAGCAGCCGCGGUAAUACGUAGGGGGCAAGCGUUAUCCGGAUUUACUGGGUGUAACGGGGGCGCAGACGGCGAUGCAAGCCAGGAGUGAAAGCCCGGGGCCCAACCCCGGGACUGCUCUUGGAACUGCGUGGCGAGAGUGCAGGAGGGGCAGGCGGAAGUCCUGGUGUAGCGGUGAAAUGCGGAGAGAGCAGGAGGAACACCGGGGGCGAAGGCGGCCUGCUGGACUGCAACUGACGUUGAGGCCCGAAAGCGUGGGGAGCAAACAGGAUUAGAUACCCCGGUAGUC